AUACGUAGGGGGCGAGCGUUGUCCGGAAUGAUUGGGCGCAAAGGGCGCGUAGGCGGCCCGGUAAGUCUGGAGUGAAAGUCCUGUUUUUAAGAUGGGAAUUGCUUUGGAUACUGUCGGGCUUGAGUGCAGGAGAGGUAAGUGGAAUUCCCAGUGUAGCGGGGAAAUGCGUAGAGAUUGGGAGGAACACCAGUGGCGAAGGCGACUUACUGGACUGUAACUGACGCUGAGGCGCGAAAGUGUGGGGAGCAAACAGGAUUAGAUACCCUGGUAGUCCACACUGUAAACGAUGAAUGCUAGGUGUAGGGGGUAUCGACCCCUUCUGUGCCGCAGUCAACACAAUAAGCAAUCCGCCUGGGGAGUACGGCCGCAAGGUUGAAACUCAAAUGAAUUGACGGGG
Molecule: ribosomal RNA, 397 nt
Filed under: uncultured bacterium
Lineage: Bacteria
Description: partial 16S ribosomal RNA
Rfam family: Bacterial small subunit ribosomal RNA
Source: RNAcentral